AACGAACGCUGGCGGCAUGCCUAACACAUGCAAGUCGAACGAGACCUUCGGGUCUAGUGGCGCACGGGUGCGUAACGCGUGGGAAUCUACCCUUGGGUUCGGAAUAACAGUUAGAAAUGACUGCUAAUACCGGAUGAUGACGAAAGUCCAAAGAUUUAUCGCCCAAGGAUGAGCCCGCGUAGGAUUAGCUAGUUGGUGAG
This 200-nucleotide ribosomal RNA is filed under the name uncultured bacterium. RNAcentral describes it as "partial 16S ribosomal RNA". It matches the Rfam family "Bacterial small subunit ribosomal RNA", at positions 29 to 256 of the family's 1533-position model. The record is from RNAcentral.